Molecule: ribosomal RNA, 1372 nt
Filed under: uncultured bacterium
Lineage: Bacteria
Description: bacterial SSU rRNA
Rfam family: Bacterial small subunit ribosomal RNA
Source: RNAcentral
GAUGAACGCUGGCGGCGUGCCUAAUACAUGCAAGUCGAGCGAACGGACGAGAAGCUUGCUUCUCUGAUGUUAGCGGCGGACGGGUGAGUAACACGUGGAUAACCUACCUAUAAGACUGGGAUAACUUCGGGAAACCGGAGCUAAUACCGGAUAAUAUUUUGAACCGCAUGGUUCAAAAGUGAAAGACGGUCUUGCUGUCACUUAUAGAUGGAUCCGCGCUGCAUUAGCUAGUUGGUAAGGUAACGGCUUACCAAGGCAACGAUGCAUAGCCGACCUGAGAGGGUGAUCGGCCACACUGGAACUGAGACACGGUCCAGACUCCUACGGGAGGCAGCAGUAGGGAAUCUUCCGCAAUGGGCGAAAGCCUGACGGAGCAACGCCGCGUGAGUGAUGAAGGUCUUCGGAUCGUAAAACUCUGUUAUUAGGGAAGAACAUAUGUGUAAGUAACUGUGCACAUCUUGACGGUACCUAAUCAGAAAGCCACGGCUAACUACGUGCCAGCAGCCGCGGUAAUACGUAGGUGGCAAGCGUUAUCCGGAAUUAUUGGGCGUAAAGCGCGCGUAGGCGGUUUUUUAAGUCUGAUGUGAAAGCCCACGGCUCAACCGUGGAGGGUCAUUGGAAACUGGAAAACUUGAGUGCAGAAGAGGAAAGUGGAAUUCCAUGUGUAGCGGUGAAAUGCGCAGAGAUAUGGAGGAACACCAGUGGCGAAGGCGACUUUCUGGUCUGUAACUGACGCUGAUGUGCGAAAGCGUGGGGAUCGAACAGGAUUAGAUACCCUGGUAGUCCACGCCGUAAACGAUGAGUGCUAAGUGUUAGGGGGUUUCCGCCCCUUAGUGCUGCAGCUAACGCAUUAAGCACUCCGCCUGGGGAGUACGACCGCAAGGUUGAAACUCAAAGGAAUUGACGGGGACCCGCACAAGCGGUGGAGCAUGUGGUUUAAUUCGAAGCAACGCGAAGAACCUUACCAAAUCUUGACAUCCUUUGACGACUCUAGAGAUAGAGCCUUCCCCUUCGGGGGACAAAGUGACAGGUGGUGCAUGGUUGUCGUCAGCUCGUGUCGUGAGAUGUUGGGUUAAGUCCCGCAACGAGCGCAACCCUUAAGCUUAGUUGCCAUCAUUAAGUUGGGCACUCUAAGUUGACUGCCGGUGACAAACCGGAGGAAGGUGGGGAUGACGUCAAAUCAUCAUGCCCCUUAUGAUUUGGGCUACACGCGUGCUACAAUGGACAAUACAAAGGGCAGCGAAACCGCGAGGUCAAGCAAAUCCCAUAAAGUUGUUCUCAGUUCGGAUUGUAGUCUGCAACUCGACUACAUGAAGCUGGAAUCGCUAGUAAUCGUAGAUCAGCAUGCUACGGUGAAUACGUUCCCGGGUCU